GAUGAGUUGCGAACGGGUGAGUAACGCGUAGGUAACCUGCCUGGUAGCGGGGGAUAACUAUUGGAAACGAUAGCUAAUACCGCAUAAGAGUAGAUGUUGCAUGACAUUUGCUUAAAAGGUGCAAUUGCAUCACUACCAGAUGGACCUGCGUUGUAUUAGCUAGUUGGUGGGGUAACGGCUCACCAAGGCGACGAUACAUAGCCGACCUGAGAGGGUGAUCG
This 221-nucleotide ribosomal RNA is filed under the name Schizochytrium aggregatum. RNAcentral describes it as "partial Bacterial small subunit ribosomal RNA". It matches the Rfam family "Bacterial small subunit ribosomal RNA", at positions 90 to 306 of the family's 1533-position model. The record is from RNAcentral. Lineage: Eukaryota; Bigyra; Thraustochytrida; Thraustochytriidae.